This 661-nucleotide ribosomal RNA is filed under the name uncultured Nocardioides sp. RNAcentral describes it as "bacterial SSU rRNA". It matches the Rfam family "Bacterial small subunit ribosomal RNA", at positions 219 to 876 of the family's 1533-position model. Lineage: Bacteria; Bacillati; Actinomycetota; Actinomycetes; Propionibacteriales; Nocardioidaceae. The record is from RNAcentral.
GAAUUCCAAGCUUCGCGGCCUAUCAGCUUGUUGGUGGGGUAAUGGCCUACCAAGGCUUCGACGGGUAGCCGGCCUGAGAGGGUGACCGGCCACACUGGGACUGAGACACGGCCCAGACUCCUACGGGAGGCAGCAGUGGGGAAUAUUGGACAAUGGGCGAAAGCCUGAUCCAGCAACGCCGCGUGAGGGAUGACGGCCUUCGGGUUGUAAACCUCUUUCAGUAGGGACGAAGUUCUGUCUUUUUGGGCGGAGUGACGGUACCUACAGAAGAAGCACCGGCCAACUACGUGCCAGCAGCCGCGGUAAUACGUAGGGUGCGAGCGUUGUCCGGAAUUAUUGGGCGUAAAGGGCUCGUAGGCGGUUUGUCGCGUCGGGAGUGAAAACCAUGGGCUUAACUCAUGGCUUGCUUCCGAUACGGGCAGACUAGAGGUAUGCAGGGGAGAACGGAAUUCCUGGUGUAGCGGUGAAAUGCGCAGAUAUCAGGAGGAACACCGGUGGCGAAGGCGGUUCUCUGGGCAUUACCUGACGCUGAGGAGCGAAAGUGUGGGGAGCGAACAGGAUUAGAUACCCUGGUAGUCCACACCGUAAACGUUGGGCGCUAGGUGUGGGGCCUAUUCCAUGGGUUCCGUGCCGCAGCUAACGCAUUAAGCGCCCCGCCUGG